GACGAACGCUGGCGGCGUGCUUAACACAUGCAAGUCGAACGGAAAGGCCCUGCUUUUGUGGGGUGCUCGAGUGGCGAACGGGUGAGUAACACGUGAGUAACCUGCCCUUGACUUUGGGAUAACUUCAGGAAACUGGGGCUAAUACCGGAUAGGAGCUCCUGCUGCAUGGUGGGGGUUGGAAAGUUUCGGCGGUUGGGGAUGGACUCGCGGCUUAUCAGCUUGUUGGUGGGGUAGUGGCUUACCAAGGCUUUGACGGGUAGCCGGCCUGAGAGGGUGACCGGCAACAUGGGGACGGAGAUACGGCCCAGACCCCUAGGGGGGGCAGCGGGGGGGAAUAUGGCAAAAGGGGGGGAAGCCUGAUGCAGCAACGCCGGGGGGGGGAGGACGGCCUUCGGGUUGUAAACCGCUUUCGCCUGUGACGAAGGGUGAGUGACGGUAAUGGGGAAAAAAGCACCGGCUAACUACGG
This 467-nucleotide ribosomal RNA is filed under the name uncultured bacterium. Its description in RNAcentral is "partial 16S ribosomal RNA". It matches the Rfam family "Bacterial small subunit ribosomal RNA", at positions 28 to 506 of the family's 1533-position model. The record is from RNAcentral.